RNAcentral lists this long non-coding RNA (611 nucleotides) under Triticum aestivum (bread wheat). Its description in RNAcentral is "long non-coding RNA (TAES_LNC023564)". The record is from RNAcentral. Lineage: Eukaryota; Viridiplantae; Streptophyta; Magnoliopsida; Poales; Poaceae.
AAUUGAACAUGAUGAAAUCUUUUGCCUAUUUCCAAACAGAGGUAAAGACAACCCUCCAUGAUUUCAGUAUCUGUACAUGAGUAAUGAUUCCAUACUGCCAUCACUGCGAGUACUGAAGAUCCAGAGCGCUCAUAUAGUGCAAGACAACAGUGCAAGUUCCAAUAAAAAAUAAAAAAAUAUUAAUCCGUCUAAUUUAGUCCUUUUCGAGAAGAACUCGGUCGAAUUUAGUCCUUCAAAAAGCUGUAUGACCAGAUAAACAAUUAUAUCAGCGAAACUAGUGCGAAAAUCAAAGAGCAAAACAUGUGACCAGACACGCGAAUCUGAUCGUACCAACACGGGCCUGUUUCCUCGAGGUUCUAGGGUUACGCCGCGACGACGCGGGCGACGGUACGCGCAAACCCUAGCUCGAAUUCCCCGCAACCGAACCGCGGAAAUUUCACCGUAGCACGUCAGAUCCGGCCGAAGCGGGGAACGCUGGUAAGGGUACGGGUACGGGGUCGGGGAGGCGGCGGCGGACGGCGAGGCCGGGCAACCGCGGGGGGAGGGUGGGUACGGGGCGGUGAGGAGGCGGUGAGGAGGCGGGAGGGGAGGCGAGGGGAGGGGAGCGGUAC